GAUCGAGUUUGCCUGGCCCUUAAGGCCAAA
This 30-nucleotide small RNA is filed under the name Bombyx mori (domestic silkworm). RNAcentral describes it as "ovarian small RNA-16117". Lineage: Eukaryota; Metazoa; Arthropoda; Insecta; Lepidoptera; Bombycidae. The record is from RNAcentral.